AUAGUUCUAUCCUACACAAUUACUCGCUAACAAAGGUUAUUCGUCCAAAUCAAUGCAUAUUGAACACAUUUUUUUUGUUUGUUAAA
Molecule: long non-coding RNA, 86 nt
Organism: Sinocyclocheilus grahami
Lineage: Eukaryota; Metazoa; Chordata; Actinopteri; Cypriniformes; Cyprinidae
Exons: 2
Source: RefSeq, a predicted model, not a curated record